GACGAACGCUGGCGGCGUGCUUAACACAUGCAAGUCGAACGGAAGGGCCCUGCUUUUGUGGGGUGCUCGAGUGGCGAACGGGUGAGUAACACGUGAGUAACCUGCCCUUGACUUUGGGAUAACUUCAGGAAACUGGGGCUAAUACCGGCUAGGAGCUCCUGCUGCAUGGUGGGGGUUGGAAAGUUUCGGCGGUUGGGGAUGGACUCGCGGCUUAUCAGCUUGUUGGUGGGGUAGUGGCUUACCAAGGCUUUGACGGGUAGCCGGCCUGAGAGGGUGAACGGCCACAUUGGGACUGAGAUACGGCCCAGACGCCUACGGGAGGCAGCAGUGGGGAAUAUUGCACAAUGGGCGGAAGCCUGAUGCAGCAACGCCGCGUGCGGGAUGACGGCCUUCGGGUUGUAAACCGCUUUCGCCUGUGACGAAGCGUGAGUGACGGUAAUGGGUAAAGAAGCACCGGCUAACUACGUG
RNAcentral lists this ribosomal RNA (468 nucleotides) under uncultured bacterium. RNAcentral's name for it is "partial 16S ribosomal RNA". It matches the Rfam family "Bacterial small subunit ribosomal RNA", at positions 28 to 507 of the family's 1533-position model. The record is from RNAcentral.